This 443-nucleotide ribosomal RNA is filed under the name uncultured bacterium. Its description in RNAcentral is "partial 16S ribosomal RNA". It matches the Rfam family "Bacterial small subunit ribosomal RNA", at positions 338 to 795 of the family's 1533-position model. The record is from RNAcentral.
CCUACGGGAGGCAGCAGUGGGGAAUAUUGGACAAUGGGGGGAACCCUGAUCCAGCGACGCCGCGUGAGUGAAGAAGUAUUUCGGUAUGUAAAGCUCUAUCAGCAGGGAAGAAAGAAAUGACGGUACCUGACUACGAAGCCCCGGCUAACUACGUGCCAGCAGCCGCGGUAAUACGUAGGGGGCAAGCGUUAUCCGGAUUUACUGGGUGUAAAGGGAGCGUAGACGGCGCGGCAAGUCUGAAGUGAAAGGCAGGGGCGUAACCCCUGAACUGCUUUGGAAACUGCCAUGCUAGAGUGCUGGAGAGGUAAGUGGAAUUCCUAGUGUAGCGGUGAAAUGCGUAGAUAUUAGGAGGAACACCAGUGGCGAAGGUGGCUUACUGGACAGUAACUGACGUUGAGGCUCGAAAGCGUGGGGAGCAAACAGGAUUAGAUACCCCAGUAGUC